RNAcentral lists this ribosomal RNA (497 nucleotides) under uncultured bacterium. Its description in RNAcentral is "partial 16S ribosomal RNA". It matches the Rfam family "Bacterial small subunit ribosomal RNA", at positions 28 to 507 of the family's 1533-position model. The record is from RNAcentral.
GAUGAACGCUGGCGGCGUGCCUAAUACAUGCAAGUCGAGCGAACAGACGAGGAGCUUGCUGCUCGGACGUUAGCCGCAGACGGGUGAGUAACACGUGUAUAACCUACCUAUCAGACUGGGAUCACUUCGGGAAACCGGAUCUAAUACCGGAGAAUCUAUUGAAGCGCAGGGGUGAAUGGUGAAAGACGGCGUUGCUGUCACGUAUAGAUGGAUCCGCGCCGCAUGAGCUAGUUGGUAAGGUAACGGCUUACGACGGCAACGAUGCGCAGCCGACCGAAGAGGGUGAUCGGCCACACUGGAGCGGAGACACGGUCCAGACUCCUACGGGAGGCAGCAGUAGGGAAUCUUCCGCAACGGGCGAAAGCCUGACGGAGCAACGCCGCGUGAGUGAUGAAGGUCUUCGGAUCGUAAAACUCUGUUACUAGGGAAGAACAAAUGUGUAAGUAACUAUGCACGUCUUGACGGUACCUAAUCAGAAAGCCACGGCUAACUACGUG